UGAACGCUAGCGGCAGGCCUAAUACAUGCAAGUCGGACGGGAUUGAAGAGCUUGCUUUUCAUGAGAGUGGCGCACGGGUGCGUAACACGUAUGUAACCUACCUUAAUCUGGGGGAUAGCCUCUCGAAAGAGAGAUUAACACCGCAUAACAUUAUUGAAUAGCAUUAUUUAAUAAUCAAAUAUUUAUAGGAUUAAGAUGGGCAUGCGGAACAUUAGCUAGUUGGUAAGGUAAUGGCUUACCAAGGCUACGAUGUUUAGGGGAUCUGAGAGGAUGACCCCCCACACUGGUACUGAGACACGGACCAGACUCCUACGGGAGGCAGCAGUAAGGAAUAUUGGUCAAUGGGCGCAAGCCUGAACCAGCCAUGCCGCGUGCAGGAAGACGGCCCUACGGGUUGUAAACUGCUUUUGUACCGGAAUAAACUUUGAUACGUGUAUCAAGCUGAAUGUAC
Molecule: ribosomal RNA, 451 nt
Filed under: Mucilaginibacter sp. BAS212i
Lineage: Bacteria; Pseudomonadati; Bacteroidota; Sphingobacteriia; Sphingobacteriales; Sphingobacteriaceae
Description: bacterial SSU rRNA
Rfam family: Bacterial small subunit ribosomal RNA
Source: RNAcentral